GACAGAGGGUGCAAACGUUGUUCGGAAUUACUGGGCGUAAAGCGCGUGUAGGCUGCUUCGCAAGUCGGAUGUGAAAGCCCUGGGCUCAACCCAGGAAGUGCAUUCGAAAUUGCAGAGCUGGAGUCCUGGAGAGGAAGGCGGAAUUCUCGGUGUAGAGGUGAAAUUCGUAGAUAUCGAGAGGAACACCGGUGGCGAAGGCGGCCUUCUGGACAGUGACUGACGCUGAGACGCGAAAGCGUGGGGGAGCAAACAGG
This 254-nucleotide ribosomal RNA is filed under the name uncultured bacterium. Its description in RNAcentral is "partial 16S ribosomal RNA". It matches the Rfam family "Bacterial small subunit ribosomal RNA", at positions 524 to 776 of the family's 1533-position model. The record is from RNAcentral.